Molecule: ribosomal RNA, 449 nt
Filed under: uncultured bacterium
Lineage: Bacteria
Description: partial 16S ribosomal RNA
Rfam family: Bacterial small subunit ribosomal RNA
Source: RNAcentral
AGCGAACGCUGGCGGCAAGCUUAACACAUGCAAGUCGAACGAUGUAGCAAUACAUAGUGGCGGACGGGUGCAUAACACGUGGGAAUCUGCCUUUAGGUACGGAAUAACUCAGGGAAACUUGAGCUAAUACCGUAUAAAAUCUCCGGAUCAAAGAUUUAUCGCCUAAAGAUGAGCCCGCGUCAGAUUAGCUAGUUGGUGGGGUAACGGCCUACCAAGGUGACGAUCUGUAGCUGGUCUUAGAGGAUGAUCAGCCACACUGGGACUGAGACACGGCCCAGACUCCUACGGGAGGCAGCGGUGGGGAAUAUUGGACAAUGGGGGAAACCCUGAUCCAGCUAUGCCGCGUGAGUGAUGAAGGCCUUAGGGUUGUAAAGCUCUUUUAGAUGGGAAGAUAAUGACGGUACCAUCAGAAAGAGCCCCGGCUAACUUCGUGCCAGCAGCCGCGGUAA